ACGAACGCUGGCGGCGUGCUUAACACAUGCAAGUCGAGCGGUAAGGCCUUUCGGGGUACACGAGCGGCGAACGGGUGAGUAACACGUGGGCGACCUGCCCUCAGCUCUGGGAUAAGCCUGGGAAACUGGGUCUAAUACCGGAUAUGACCACAUGUCGCAUGGUGUGUGGUGGAAAGUUUUUCGGCUGGGGAUGGGCCCGCGGCCUAUCAGCUUGUUGGUGGGGUGAUGGCCUACCAAGGCGACGACGGGUAGCCGGCCUGAGAGGGCGACCGGCCACACUGGGACUGAGAUACGGCCCAGACUCCUACGGGAGGCAGCAGUGGGGAAUAUUGCGCAAUGGGCGAAAGCCUGACGCAGCGACGCCGCGUGGGGGAUGAAGGCCUUCGGGUUGUAAACCUCUUUCGACCGGGACGAAGAGAAAUUGACGGUACCGGUAUAAGAAGCACCGGCCAACUACGU
RNAcentral lists this ribosomal RNA (459 nucleotides) under uncultured bacterium. RNAcentral's name for it is "bacterial SSU rRNA". It matches the Rfam family "Bacterial small subunit ribosomal RNA", at positions 29 to 506 of the family's 1533-position model. The record is from RNAcentral.